UAAAUGAAGCGUCAUGUUGAGGAAGGACAACGUGACAGAGGCUGAUGAGAGGAGGGAGUGCAUGGAGCUGUUGAAGGAGAUGGUCGCGUGGGAUGAGAAGGAGCGGAUCACUCCCGCUGAUGUCCUCAACCAUCCUUUCAUUACCAAGAGCUACAUACACAGCACCUCCCGCCUCAGCUCCUGUCCUCAGCCUGCUGCAGCUCUGGACGCCACCAGCAUCCACAUGGACAACACGGAGCUCCCUCCCAACACCUCUGGUGAUAAUAAAGAACAUCUUGAUCUAUCAAUCUAGAACAUGUGUCUAGAUUAUUGAGAUGAGUUAUUCAAUGUUCUUUGAUUUACAGAAGAAGAAGAAGAAGAAGAAGAAGAAGAAGAAGAAGAAGAAGAAGAAGAAGAAGAGGAGGAGGAAGUUCUUAUUAUUAUUAUAAUAACAAUAUUAAUAAUAAUUAUUAUUAAUAUUCCUGAGAAUUCUAUCAAUCUAGAACAUGUGUCUAGAUUAUUGAGAUGAGUUUUUUAAUGUUCUUUGAUUUACAGAUGACAGAGGGGACGAGAAGAAGAAGAAGAAGAAGAAGAAGAAGAAGAAGAAGAAGAAGAAGAAGAAGAAGAAGAACUCCUGUAGACGCUUCUUCUCCUGGAUGACGAGGAUCUUCUGCUGCUACAUGGACGACGUGCAGGAGUGAAGAUUUCUAUUGUUUGUCGCUAAAGAACCUGAGAACUUGCUCACAGGUGUUCUGCUAGAAAACAUUCAUAGUGCAGAAGAUUCAAACCAUUCAAGCAGAGCUCUGAUCUUAUGUUUGUGUUUUGUGUUUCAUGUUAUUGUUAGUAUUGAACGUGAACGUGAAUGAACUUUUGUCUCAGCAACUCUUGUGAGAUCUGACAACACAGAGCGUUAAUGUUUGUCAGACUGUGUCCAAACAUCUUCUAAGGUAAAAAGUCUUUGUGAUGCUCAACAUGUUAGUUCCCUGUGUGACUCUCUAACGUUAGCUCAACAUAAAUACAUUAGAGCAGGCCUACUGAGGAGACAGGUGGUGUUUACCAUUUGAACAGCAUCGCUGCUGCUCGUGAUCGUCUUUAGUUAUAGAACAUGUUACAGCUUCACUGUGUUGCUGCAGUGCUCAGUGGAGCAUACAUCUCUCUUUCAAACGUGUGAAGAUUACAAGCAGUCAGUUUCACUCUUAUGUGCAUUUUAUAAAUACAUUUAGCUUUGUAAGCUAGUAGCAGCUAAAGUUUGUAGCCGUCCCUCAAUGUUGUUGUUUAUCCUUCUGGCUCGCUAGUUAUUUACAUUCAUGUGACAAAGUUUGUUCUCAGCUGUUAUAUUGAUCUCUGUCUUCUUUCCCUUCAAUAAUGUCAACAAGUCCUUUAAACGUGUGUCUUGUAAAAUGAAACGCUAUUUGUUCUCAUGCUUAUGACUCACAUGCCAUCAUUUAACUUUAAGAUAUGAAGACAUGUUAGACUCUGCUACAAUACAUUAUAACUAUGAGAGUCUUUAUGCUAAGCUAAGCGGGCUAAAUAUUUAGCAUACAGACGAUCUAUCUUCUUAUUUUACUCUCAGCAACAAAGUGAAGAAACAUAUUCCCCAAAGUGUCAAACUCUUCCUUUAAACAACAAACUGCACACAUCAGGUUGUGUUUAGAUGUGUCCUGUUGCUUAGUAACAUCAUCACUCUUUAUCUUCUACAAGCUUUUCUCACCACGUCAUUAAGUUGUGAUUUCUCUCUGUGGACACCUGCUGCAGAAGCUUUAAUACAAUUCACACUUUGUGUAGGUACGAGGUUUAGCUCAGAGAACUGCAUCAUGGGGGGUCCUGCAGUUAUUUUAGGAGUGUGGCUUCAUGUUACAUAACUGGGCUGAUGGAUGUGUGUUUAGAAAGUGACAGGUGUCAGUUCACAUGCUGACAGUACAGUACUCAGGGAAGCAAAGCAGCAGUGUUACUGAGCACACACUUACACACAACACGUGUUGUUUACUGUCGACGGCUGGCAAACACUUCAGAAUGGUUCAGUUACUAUCCUCACCACUUAAAUAGUCUUACCGCAGGUCCGACUGCAGGGGGAGACAGUGAGCAGUGAGCAGCUUCAUGUGUGAGUGAUGUGGAACCUGUGCAAUCUGCAGGUACAGUUGACCUCAUUUCUAUCAUUAGGGCAAUUUCAUUGAUCAGUUUCAUUUGACUUCCAGCUUGUUUUAGUUGAUUCAAAAUGUUCAAUCUGAAGGUUUAUUAUUUUAUAAUGUUUUGUGUUUCUGUGUUCCAUUGAGCUCUUGUUUAUUUUUUACUGGCCCG
Molecule: long non-coding RNA, 2277 nt
Organism: Cottoperca gobio
Lineage: Eukaryota; Metazoa; Chordata; Actinopteri; Perciformes; Bovichtidae
Source: Ensembl